AACUCCAGCCCCAGCAUUCCCAGGUGUCCCCAUUUGGUGAUCAGGACUGAACACAGAGACUCACCAUGGAGUCUCGGCUGAUCUGGGUUUUCCUCCUUGCACUGUUACAAGGUGUCCAGUGUGAGGUGCAGCUGCUGGAGUCUGGGGGAGGCUUGGUACAGCCUGGGGGGUCCCUGAGACUCUCCUGUGCAGCCUCUGGAUUCACCUUCAGUGGUUCCUGGAUGCACUGGGUCCGCCAGGCUCCAGGGAAGGGGCUGGAGUGGGUCUCAUACAUUAAUGGUGAUGGUGGUAGCACAAACUACGCAGACGCUGUCAAGGGCCGAUUCACCAUCUCCAGAGACAACAGCAAGAACUCGCUGUAUCUACAAAUGAACAGUCUGAAAGCCGAGGACACAGCCAUGUACUACUGUGCCAGAGACACAACGAGGGGACCUCAGUGUGAUCCCAGACACAAACCUCCUGUGGGGACGUGCAGGGCCACCAGGGUGGAGUGUGGGACCCUGGAAGCCUAAAAAAAAGCCGAGA
Microcebus murinus (gray mouse lemur) is the source of this 525-nucleotide non-coding RNA. Lineage: Eukaryota; Metazoa; Chordata; Mammalia; Primates; Cheirogaleidae. The record is from the annotation of a RefSeq genome assembly.